RNAcentral lists this ribosomal RNA (408 nucleotides) under uncultured bacterium. Its description in RNAcentral is "partial 16S ribosomal RNA". It matches the Rfam family "Bacterial small subunit ribosomal RNA", at positions 30 to 526 of the family's 1533-position model. The record is from RNAcentral.
AUUGAACGCUGGCGGCAGGCCUAACACAUGCAAGUCGAGCGAAGCGGCGGAUGGGUGAGUAACGCGUGGGUAACCUGCACUUAAGUCUGGGAUACCAUUUGGAAACAGAUGCUCAUACCGGAUCCUAAAGGAUGGACCUGCGAUGCAUUAGCUAGUUGGUAAGGUAACGGCUUACCAAGGCGAUGAUGCAUAGCCGAGUUGAGAGACUGAUCGGCCACAUUGGGACUGAGACACGGCCCAAACUCCUACGGGAGGCAGCAGUAGGGAAUCUUCCACAAUGGACGAAAGUCGGAUGGAGCAACGCCGCGUGAGUGAAGAAGGGUUUCGGAUCGUAAAGCUCUGUUGUUGGUGAAGCGGUAAUCAACCAGAAAGUCACGGCUAACUACGUGCCAGCAGCCGCGGUAAUUC